Long non-coding RNA from Passer domesticus (house sparrow), 874 nucleotides. RefSeq lists it as uncharacterized. The transcript has 3 exons. NCBI's taxonomy places the organism in Eukaryota, Metazoa, Chordata, Aves, Passeriformes, Passeridae. The record is from RefSeq and is a predicted model, not a curated record.
UGGUGAGAGGUCAGUUAGUGAAUUAGACCAAUUAGAGCUUGUACAGUUCAAUUAUCUGUCUUAUUACCUACUGAUAAACAGCCUUGUCAUAUCUUUACUCAGAUGAUGAAGCCUGGAAGUGUUUUAUGAGGAUUUACAUGGUUCUGGAAGGAUCACCUGUAAGCCUGGACAGAGCUGACUCAAGAUGGGUGAACUGAACAAAGGAGGCUCUCCUUGUCCCAGGCCUGUGAGCCUUGGCCAUUUGUCUGCUUAUCUGAAAGAACCAGCGAGAAAGAACCUGAAAGAACCAUUUCUUCCUGGCUGAUCAGUUUAGGUAGCAUCUGCUAUUGCAGCAUGACCCUUUUGCCUGUCCUGUAACAUAGCCACAGGAUUUAGAUUAGUUACAAGGAAAAAUUUUUUUUGCAAUGAGGGAGGCAAAAUACUGGAACAUAUUUCCCAGGUGUUAGAUGUCCCAUGCCUGGAAACAUCCAAGGUCAGGUUGGACAGGACUCUCAGAAACUUGAUGUAGAAGAAGAUGUCCCUGCUAAUUCCAAACCAUUCUAUGAUUAAAACUGAUCUGAAUUACUUGAGUUGCAGCUGACUUGUCUUGCUGUCUGGGCAUCUCCCACCUGUGCACUGCUCCUUCUCAAGAGUGAAUUAAAGAAACCAGUUUGGGUCAAUAGGAUAUUUGAGAACUACUGUAAAGGGAUGAAUAUAAAGGUUUAAAUCAUAAGUGCUUGAAGAACUGGAGCACAUAUUGCCCAGUGGCAAUCAUCUCAUAAGAACAAAUCACCCACCCAAGGUGUUCUGUUUAGAUUCUUGCAGCAGUCAUCUUGGUUUUUACAUAUACUGUGUCUUUUAAAAAUCCUUGUUCACUGCUUUCCUAAACAGCUCU